UACAGAGGUCUCAACCGUUGUUCGGAUUCAUUGGGCGUAAAGGGCUCGUAGGUGGCUUUGUAAGUCGGAGGUGAAAUCCCACGGCUCAACCGUGGACACGCCUUCGAAACUGUGAAGCUUGAGGCUGGGAGAGGAGAUCGGAAUUCCUGGUGUAGCGGUGAAAUGCGUAGAUAUCAGGAAGAACACCAACGGCGAAGGCAGCUCGCUAGGACGGUACUGACGCUGAGACGCGAAAGCGUGGGGAGCGAACAGG
This 253-nucleotide ribosomal RNA is filed under the name uncultured bacterium. Its description in RNAcentral is "partial 16S ribosomal RNA". It matches the Rfam family "Bacterial small subunit ribosomal RNA", at positions 524 to 776 of the family's 1533-position model. The record is from RNAcentral.